Molecule: ribosomal RNA, 253 nt
Filed under: uncultured bacterium
Lineage: Bacteria
Description: partial 16S ribosomal RNA
Rfam family: Bacterial small subunit ribosomal RNA
Source: RNAcentral
GAAGAAGGGGGCUAGCGUUGUUCGGAAUCACGAGGCGUAAAGCGCACGUAGGCGGAUUUGUUAGUCAGGGGUGAAAUCCCGGGGCUCAACCUCGGAACUGCCUUUGAUACUGCAGAUCUCGAGUCCGGAAGAGGUGAGUGGAAUUCCUAGUAUAGAGGUGAAAUUCGUAGAUAUUAGGAAGAACACCAGUGGCGAAGGCGGCUCACUGGUCCGGUACUGACGCUGAGGUGCGAAAGCGUGGGGAGCAAACAGG